This 441-nucleotide ribosomal RNA is filed under the name uncultured bacterium. Its description in RNAcentral is "partial 16S ribosomal RNA". It matches the Rfam family "Bacterial small subunit ribosomal RNA", at positions 338 to 795 of the family's 1533-position model. The record is from RNAcentral.
CCUACGGGAGGCAGCAGUGGGGAAUAUUGCACAAUGGGGGAAACCCUGAUGCAGCAACGCCGCGUGAGGGAGGAAGUAUUUCGGUAUGUAAACUUCUAUCAGCAGGGACUAGAAAAGUAGGUAUCUGAAAAAGAAGCGCCGGCUAACUACGUGCCAGCAGCCGCGGUAAUACGUAGGGGGCAAGCGUUAUCCGGAUUUACUGGGUGUAAAGGGAGCGUAGACGGAAAGGCAAGUAAGAGGUGAAAACACAAGGCUCAACCAAGGGACUGCUUUUGAAACUGUCAAACUAGAGUACGGGAGAGGUAAGAGGAAUUCCGAGUGUAGCGGUGAAAUGCGUAGAUAUUAGGAGGAACGCCAGUGGCGAAGGCGUCUUACUGGACCGAAACUGACGUUGAGGCGCGAAAGCGUGGGGAGCAAACAGGAUUAGAUACCCUUGUAGUC